UAUUGUUUUGGUAACCCUUUGGAUUUCUUUUGCGAGGUGAUAUGGUGAGAGAUCGAUAGUCUGCAUUUAAUGGGAAUGGAGUUGGCGUUGAGAGGCUUUGAAGCAGAAAGAAUGUACUUCACUGCCGAUUCCUUUCAUCAAAGAAUACCACAACCAUUCAUCAAUGCAUCAAGGUCACGGGUGUGGAGGCACAAAGAGAGGAUAAUGGCUGACUCACAUUCACGUGUAAAAGCUGCUUUUGAUUUGUCUCCACUCUGUUUUGUAAUACUAGUCUGGUAUGAGGUCAGGG
Molecule: long non-coding RNA, 289 nt
Organism: Eutrema salsugineum
Lineage: Eukaryota; Viridiplantae; Streptophyta; Magnoliopsida; Brassicales; Brassicaceae
Exons: 3
Source: RefSeq, a predicted model, not a curated record